Molecule: long non-coding RNA, 1195 nt
Filed under: Androctonus crassicauda
Lineage: Eukaryota; Metazoa; Arthropoda; Arachnida; Scorpiones; Buthidae
Source: RNAcentral
AGUUGUUUCUCUAUUGCUACACAAAAUUAGUUUCCAUCAACAGUCCAGCAUUGUAUAAUGUUUGUAAUCCAAUCUUCUCUAAGCACUUUGUUGUUUGACCUUUGUGCAUUUCAUCAUUUGUUAUGCAAAUGAAAAAUUUGUUCAGUGAGAUCAGUUUGGAUACAAUAUCCAUCUCCUGUCUGAAUAAAUUCCUAUUGCAUCUUGGGAUAUAUCCCAAGAUACAAUAAGAAUUUGUUCAUAACCCAAGAUGGCAUCCUUCAUUUUCAUCUGAAGAAUGCUAUCCUGGACUGUGUUUCAACAACUCUUUUUGAAUUAGUCUUUUGAACACGGAUUCUGUGUCAGUAUUUAUUGAUUGUUCUAAAUUUGUUGGCCAUAUGAAUUUGCUUUUGUCUGCAAUUACAAAGUAUAAUUCUGAGCAGAUAUCCCUAUUGGUAUCUGUAUGCAUUGCAGAGAUACAUGCUAUCUGUCUAACAUUGAAAUAUAAUAGGACAAAAGGCCAUCAUUGCAGUAUAAUCUAUUUUGACUUACUGAGUACAUUGCAAAUACUUAUCUUGUGGAAGUUCUCACUAUAUCUGCUUAUUUCAAUUGUUUGAAAAUUUCUGUCCUGUUUAUCAUCAUGGGGAUUUGCUAUCAAAAUUUGUUGGGUCAUAGAAUAUAUAGGAAUUAAAGAGAUUUAAGAGGAGUCAGCCAUGUUUUUCAGGAUGAUCAACUUUUUGAUUUUGCAGCCAAGUUGAUCAUCCUGAACAACUUUCAGCCCUUAUCAAUCCUUUAUAAGGAUUUAAAAGGACUGAUAAGGGAAUUAUUAAGCAGAAGCUACUACUAUUGUAGGAGAAUAUGUGGGAUAAACAAAUUAACAAGCUUCAAUGAGUUCAAACCAUUGAUUAACCAAUGGAACUUCAGCUACUGCAAUAACAGGAGAAUAGAAAUUGUCCUUGCAAGGGCACCUAGGACUCAUCCAUAACUAUCUUUUAAUGCGUGAAGACUAUAGUUUGUGACUAUUGUAAUUGCCCUUACUAUUAACUAAAUUUUAAAGAAUAAUGAAUAUUUUAUUAAAAAUUGUCAUUGACAUUUUAAUCUUUACAAUUUUAAUUUAAAAAUCAUUAUUAGCAAGGAUUUUAAUUCUUAGGUCUUUUCAAUUUUUUCUGACAUCUGUGUUGUUUAUCUUAUUUACUUUUAAUUUAUCACUUGCUAAUUU